AUUUUGACAUAUGUUGUUUUUAUUUGAAUUUAUUAUGUUUUAACUUAAAAUUUAAUGAUUUAAUUAAUUAAUAGUUAUUAAAAUAUUUUCAGACUGAUGAAAGUACUUCCCGACACAGCUUUAGUUCUGACAGCGAUGAUUCUGAUGUACCAGAAGAAUUGAAAAAAGAAUAUGUAGAAGAAAAUGCUGAUGAUUAUCAGAAAGUUUCAAAAACACACAAAAAACAUAACUUCACUACCAAGAAAAAGCAACCUCCUAUUUUGACAAAUACAACUUUGAAUGUUUUGAGAUUAUUUGGCAAAUAUAUGCAAAUGAUGCAUGUUUUGAAACCGAUUGCUUUUGACGUUCUUAAUUGUAUGUUUCAAUUAUUUGAUUAUUAUAUGUAUGCUGUGUUUUGCUUUUUUGCAAAAGAAAUGU
This is a long non-coding RNA of Centruroides sculpturatus (bark scorpion), 417 nucleotides long. RefSeq lists it as uncharacterized. NCBI's taxonomy places the organism in Eukaryota, Metazoa, Arthropoda, Arachnida, Scorpiones, Buthidae. The record is from RefSeq and is a predicted model, not a curated record. The transcript is spliced from 4 exons.